Molecule: long non-coding RNA, 1117 nt
Organism: Myotis davidii
Lineage: Eukaryota; Metazoa; Chordata; Mammalia; Chiroptera; Vespertilionidae
Exons: 2
Source: RefSeq, a predicted model, not a curated record
CUGCGGACAGGCUUCCUGGAAAGAAAGUUUGAAUAUGUGAUGGAUGUGGGGAGCGUUCAGCACUCAUUCAACUCAACCAAUGGUCAAUACAUGUGGAUCCACUCUGUGCAGAGCCCGUGGGGGAUCCUUCGUGGGAACUGGAGAUGAGUGGAUGUGGGCUCCCCCCUCAGGAGGUCUGAGGCCUCUCAAGAGAAUAGGAAACAGAUCCACAGACAAUUUACACAGCCACACAGUGCCAACUGUUACUGACACGCAACGCCCUGGGCUGGGCCCGCUGGUGAGAAGAAGAGGAUUCUGGCCCUUGGGACAGUCAAGUUCCAUCCAGUCAGCGUUUCACAAACACGUGUUUGGUUCAUGCAUUUUAGACGUGUCAAGCUCAGGGCUUGUGUGACACAUGUAAGUGAAGACAUUCAUGUGUGGAGCUCAGAAUCUAUAGAAAAAUAAGUCAGGGACAAAGUCAAGUUACCAUCAUCACUGUUCUCUAUUUCCACUGUAUUUCAGAACCUUUGUGUACUUUCUCCCAAUAGAAGAAACGGUACUUUGUACUGAACCAGGAAGCCUUCUGCUGUUUUUUCCUUUCAGGGGCUUCCUUGGGAACACAGGCUGCUGCAGGAAGUCCUCCCAGACUGCUGCCCGCUUCCCUGUGUGGUGUGUAUACAUGGGCACCAGGGCCGGUGUUCUGGGCCACUCUUUUAAUCCUCAUCUCUCAUCCACGCCCUCUCCCCUCCUCCCAAUAGAAGCUCCAUAUCCUCGAACCAAUCCCUUGACUUAUUCAGAGAACGUUUAUUUAUGUGGGUUUUUUUUUUUUUUAAAUCUGUGUAUGAGACUACGUGAAGGUUUUAUUUUGUGUGAAUGUCACUUUGGGGGUAGGGUAUAGUUCUAUAUGGUUUUUUGAGCGCAGUCUGACACGGGGGCCUGGACUAUAGACUUGUGUGAGCAUUUGCACGUACACGGAGUAUCUAAUAGAGUGGGUAGAGCCAAGGAACAGAUGUAUUUGUUCUCUAACAAUGAAUGAGCUUAUUUGUGAGCAAAUGCCAGUGGGUUUUUAUCAAAAUACCAGCUAUAAGUUAUUACUCUUUGUGGUUUGAUGGGCAAAUAGCAUUUUAUACUGAGGCAA